GUACUGCCGAAGAGUCCCAAACUAGGACGAGACAGCUGUCCAGUAC
RNAcentral lists this non-coding RNA (46 nucleotides) under Trichobilharzia regenti. The record is from RNAcentral. Lineage: Eukaryota; Metazoa; Platyhelminthes; Trematoda; Strigeidida; Schistosomatidae.